GGAUAACGCCUGCACUGUUUGUUGUCUAGUAGACGACGUGAUGUUGCAACUCUUAUAGAUGUCCAUUAUUUUUCUGUAUCCAAGACUGGACGGGAUGGAAGCAAAGAGGCUGCCUGAGGGAUACAUUAGGCAGAAACCAAUGGCUGCAAGACCAGAGAUGUAGAACCCUCCAAGGAGAGAGUCUUUAGUAGAUCGAGAAACUGCUGAAACCUCUGUGAGUUACAGUGGCUCUGGCUGUACCAAGAAUGCAGACAAGGACAAGGGGAGUCUGGAUCCUGAGUACCUCCUCCAUUAACUGGACGAUUCUGCAUGCCCUACCCUAGAGAUGCCCUGCCCCCAUGGACUAUUAGGCACAUCCACCUCCUGAACCCUGGUGGCCCUGGGGCACCUGAACUCCCUCACCUGCAACACUUGGUAAGAUGAUCUGAGCACUAAGCACUAGGAGUUGACUUGUAAAACACACUCACCUUAUUUUUGUUGCUGUUAGGUCUGGGCCAAGGUGCAGAGGUGUACCACGACAUUGUGAUGCAAGGGGAAUGUGUCUGCUGCCAUUACCACAUUCCUCAAGUUUCUCAGGAUCUCAUCUUUGUCAUUUCCCCCACCAUGUGUUGGUACAGGCAUCUCUUGUGGAGAAGGAAUGGGGCUGUAUGCAGAAAAUCAGACAUAGCGCUUCAGGAGAAUGCCCUGUACACAGUCCACGUGCCAGGAUCUGUGAGGCAUGAGGCAAAACGUAACGUAUGUCCAUCUAGUUGUGCCCCCCAGCCAUCCAUAGUUGUUCGCUGAGUGAUUGAAUACAUCUGAAUAAGGGCUUUUAGGAGUCUUCAUCAAGUUAUAAGGGAUGGUUCUUCAAGUUCUUCUUGAGGAUCACCUGAGGCAUGUGGGACACCCUAUGCAUUGUGAUUAGGGAUCUCACUGGGGCAAAGAGUUUAAGUUGUCAGAAGUAUGAGGGGAGGGUCUUUUGUUUUUGUUUUUGAUCUCGAAACAAUCUACUCAAGUCAGAAUAAACCUCCAUCCCUUCUAGGGCUUUUUGCAGGUCCAGGAGCAGGUGUCACACCUAACAGUGACAUCGACACUGGCUCUGCCAAAACUGCCGAGAAGCACAAAGUAAAUGCUGUGGCCAUUUUCAGUUCUAAGUCUUUAUGGACAGCCACAUCUUUCUGUACAGGACACUCUCCUGCCAUUGUCUCUGGUUUGUGUGUUGUAUGGCUAUUUUGUAUGCACGAGGGCCUGGUCCUUUCCCAGGAUUGCUUUGCAGGCUGUACCCCAUGGACCACCCUUCACUACCAGUCAUGGGCUAUAGGCCACAUCCCUCUCCUCCCCCUACUCUAUUUGUUAAGAUGACCUGAACUGGAUGAAAUGCUG
This 1362-nucleotide long non-coding RNA is filed under the name Felis catus (domestic cat). Its description in RNAcentral is "lncRNA (ENSFCAG00000046933.1)". Lineage: Eukaryota; Metazoa; Chordata; Mammalia; Carnivora; Felidae. The record is from RNAcentral.